UGUUUAGAAAGUUAAGUUUUGAAACACAUAUGUAUACUUUAAACCCCAAAUUUCAAUAAUUUUUUGCCGUGACUUCUGAUGGGCAUAGAGGAGUCCUUCUCUACUUUAAAUUGAUUCAAGUUGGAUAAGGAUCCAAUCCAAAUUGACCCAAUCCCAUUAGGUUAAAGGCAACUGGUCUAUGUUAGCUCAAACACUUUGAUCUAAACCAAUUUAAGAA
Molecule: long non-coding RNA, 217 nt
Filed under: Elaeis guineensis (African oil palm)
Lineage: Eukaryota; Viridiplantae; Streptophyta; Magnoliopsida; Arecales; Arecaceae
Description: long non-coding RNA (EGUI_LNC058208)
Source: RNAcentral